RNAcentral lists this ribosomal RNA (253 nucleotides) under uncultured bacterium. RNAcentral's name for it is "partial 16S ribosomal RNA". It matches the Rfam family "Bacterial small subunit ribosomal RNA", at positions 524 to 776 of the family's 1533-position model. The record is from RNAcentral.
UACGUAGGGCGCAAGCGUUGUCCGGAAUUAUUGGGCGUAAAGAGCUCGUAGGCGGCCUGUCGCGUCUGCUGUGAAAUCCCGGGGCUCAACCCCGGGCUUGCAGUGGAUACGGGCAGGCUGGAGGCAGGCAGGGGAGAACGGAAUUCCCGGUGUAGCGGUGAAAUGCGCAGAUAUCGGGAGGAACACCGGUGGCGAAGGCGGUUCUCUGGGCCUGUACUGACGCUGAGGAGCGAAAGCGUGGGGAGCGAACAGG